This 389-nucleotide ribosomal RNA is filed under the name uncultured bacterium. RNAcentral describes it as "bacterial SSU rRNA". It matches the Rfam family "Bacterial small subunit ribosomal RNA", at positions 28 to 453 of the family's 1533-position model. The record is from RNAcentral.
GACGAACGCUGGCGGCAGGCCUAACACAUGCAAGUCGAACGAGAUCUUCGGAUCUAGUGGCGGACGGGUGAGUAACGCGUGGGAACGUGCCCUUCUCUACGGAAUAGUCCUGGGAAACUGGGUUUAAUACCGUAUACGCCCUUCGGGGGAAAGAAUUUCGGGGAAGGAUCGGCCCGCGUUGGAUUAGGUAGUUGGUGGGGUAAUGGCCUACCAAGCCGACGAUCCAUAGCUGGUUUGAGAGGAUGAUCAGCCACACUGGGACUGAGACACGGCCCAGACUCCUACGGGAGGCAGCAGUGGGGAAUCUUAGACAAUGGGGAACCUGAUCAGCAUGCCGCGUGAGUGAGAAGCCCUAGGGUCGUAAAGCUCUUUCGCCAGGGAUGAUAAUG